This 496-nucleotide ribosomal RNA is filed under the name uncultured bacterium. RNAcentral describes it as "partial 16S ribosomal RNA". It matches the Rfam family "Bacterial small subunit ribosomal RNA", at positions 28 to 506 of the family's 1533-position model. The record is from RNAcentral.
GAUGAACGCUGGCGGCGUGCCUAAUACAUGCAAGUCGAGCGAACAGACGAGGAGCUUGCUCCUCUGACGUUAGCGGCGGAUGGGUGAGUAACACGUGGAUAACCUACCUAUAAGACUGGGAUAACUUCGGGAAACCGGAGCUAAUACCGGAUAAUAUAUUGAACCGCAUGGUUCAAUAGUGAAAGACGGUUUUGCUGUCACUUAUAGAUGGAUCCGCGCCGCAUUAGCUAGUUGGUAAGGUAACGGCUUACCAAGGCGACGAUGCGUAGCCGACCUGAGAGGGUGAUCGGCCACACUGGAACUGAGACACGGUCCAGACUCCUACGGGAGGCAGCAGUAGGGAAUCUUCCGCAAUGGGCGAAAGCCUGACGGAGCAACGCCGCGUGAGUGAUGAAGGUCUUCGGAUCGUAAAACUCUGUUAUUAGGGAAGAACAAAUGUGUAAGUAACUAUGCACGUCUGGACGGUACCUAAUCAGAAAGCCACGGCUAACUACGU